RNAcentral lists this ribosomal RNA (495 nucleotides) under uncultured bacterium. RNAcentral's name for it is "partial 16S ribosomal RNA". It matches the Rfam family "Bacterial small subunit ribosomal RNA", at positions 28 to 507 of the family's 1533-position model. The record is from RNAcentral.
GACGAACGCUGGCGGCGUGCCUAAUACAUGCAAGUAGAACGCUGAAGGAGGAGCUUGCUCUUCUGGAUGAGUUGCGAACGGGUGAGUAACGCGUAGGUAACCUGCCUGGUAGCGGGGGAUAACUAUUGGAAACGAUAGCUAAUACCGCAUAACAGUAGAUGUUGCAUGACAUUUGCUUAAAAGGUGCAAUUGCAUCACUACCAGAUGGCCCUGCGUUGUAUUAGCUAGUUGGUGGGGUAACGGCUCACCAAGGCGACGAUACAUAGCCGACCUGAGAGGGUGAUCGGCCACACUGGGACUGAGACACGGCCCAGACUCCUACGGGAGGCAGCAGUAGGGAAUCUUCGGCAAUGGACGGAAGUCUGACCGAGCAACGCCGCGUGAGUGAAGAAGGUUUUCGGAUCGUAAAGCUCUGUUGUAAGAGAAGAACGAGUGUGAGAGUGGAAAGUUCACACUGUGACGGUAUCUUACCAGAAAGGGACGGCUAACUACGUG